RNAcentral lists this ribosomal RNA (1372 nucleotides) under uncultured bacterium. RNAcentral's name for it is "bacterial SSU rRNA". It matches the Rfam family "Bacterial small subunit ribosomal RNA", at positions 28 to 1381 of the family's 1533-position model. The record is from RNAcentral.
GAUGAACGCUGGCGGCGUGCCUAAUACAUGCAAGUCGAGCGAACAGACGAGGAGCUUACUCCUCUGACGUUAGCGGCGGACGGGUGAGUAACACGUGGAUAACCUACCUAUAAGACUGGGAUAACUUCGGGAAACCGGAGCUAAUACCGGAUAACAUGUUGAACCGCAUGGUUCAACAGUGAAAGACGGUCUUGCUGUCACUUAUAGAUGGAUCCGCGUCGCAUUAGCUAGUUGGUAAGGUAACGGCUUACCAAGGCAACGAUGCGUAGCCGACCUGAGAGGGUGAUCGGCCACACUGGAACUGAGACACGGUCCAGACUCCUACGGGAGGCAGCAGUAGGGAAUCUUCCGCAAUGGGCGAAAGCCUGACGGAGCAACGCCGCGUGAGUGAAGAAGGUCUUCGGAUCGUAAAACUCUGUUAUUAGGGAAGAACAAAUGUGUAAGUAACUAUGCACGUCUUGACGGUACCUAAUCAGAAAGCCACGGCUAACUACGUGCCAGCAGCCGCGGUAAUACGUAGGUGGCAAGCGUUAUCCGGAAUUAUUGGGCGUAAAGCGCGCGUAGGCGGUUUUUUAAGUCUGAUGUGAAUGCCCACGGCUCAACCGUGGAGGGUCAUUGGAAACUGGAAAACUUGAGUGCAGAAGAGGAAAGUGGAAUUCCAUGUGUAGCGGUGAAAUGCGCAGAGAUAUGGAGGAACACCAGUGGCGAAGGCGACUUUCUGGUCUGUAACUGACGCUGAUGUGCGAAAGCGUGGGGAUCAAACAGGAUUAGAUACCCUGGUAGUCCACGCCGUAAACGAUGAGUGCUAAGUGUUAGGGGGUUUCCGCCCCUUAGUGCUGCAGCUAACGCAUUAAGCACUCCGCCUGGGGAGUACGACCGCAAGGUUGAAACUCAAAGGAAUUGACGGGGACCCGCACAAGCGGUGGAGCAUGUGGUUUAAUUCGAAGCAACGCGAAGAACCUUACCAAAUCUUGACAUCCUCUGACCCCUCUAGAGAUAGAGUUUUCCCCUUCGGGGGACAGAGUGACAGGUGGUGCAUGGUUGUCGUCAGCUCGUGUCGUGAGAUGUUGGGUUAAGUCCCGCAACGAGCGCAACCCUUAAGCUUAGUUGCCAUCAUUAAGUUGGGCACUCUAAGUUGACUGCCGGUGACAAACCGGAGGAAGGUGGGGAUGACGUCAAAUCAUCAUGCCCCUUAUGAUUUGGGCUACACACGUGCUACAAUGGACAAUACAAAGGGUAGCGAAACCGCGAGGUCAAGCAAAUCCCAUAAAGUUGUUCUCAGUUCGGAUUGUAGUCUGCAACUCGACUACAUGAAGCUGGAAUCGCUAGUAAUCGUAGAUCAGCAUGCUACGGUGAAUACGUUCCCGGGUCU